This 731-nucleotide ribosomal RNA is filed under the name uncultured archaeon. Its description in RNAcentral is "bacterial SSU rRNA". It matches the Rfam family "Archaeal small subunit ribosomal RNA", at positions 21 to 761 of the family's 1478-position model. The record is from RNAcentral.
CCCGACUGCUAUCAGAAUAGGACUAAGCCAUGCGAGUCAACGUAGCAAUACGUGGCAUACGGCUCAGUAACACGUAGUCAACAUGCCCAGGGGACGUGGAUAACCUCGGGAAACUGAGGAUAAACCGCGAUAGGUCAUAAUAUCUGGAAUGAUUUCUGGCUGAAAUCUAUAUGGCCCCUGGAUUGGACUGCGGCCGAUCAGGCUGUUGGUGAGGUAAUGGCCCACCAAACCUAAAACCGGUACGGGCUCUGAGAGGAGAAGCCCGGAGAUGGGCACUGAGACAAGGGCCCAGGCCCUAUGGGGCGCAGCAGGCGCGAAAACUCUGCAAUAAGCGAAAGCUUGACAGGGUUAUUCUGAGUGAUUUCCGCUAAGGAAAUCUUUUGGCACCUCUAAAAAUGGUGCAGAAUAAGGGGUGGGCAAGCCUGGUGUCAGCCGCCGCGGUAAUACCAGCACCCCGAGUGGUCGGGACGAUUAUUGGGCCUAAAGCAUCCGUAGCCGGUUCUACAAGUCUUCCGUUAAAUCCACCUGCUUAACAGAUGGGCUGCGGAGGAUACUAUGGAGCUAGGAGGCGGGAGAGGCAAGCGGUACUUAGUGGGUAGGGGUAAAAUCCGUUGAUCCAUUGAAGACCACCAGUGGCGAAGGCGGCUUGCCAGAACGCACUCGACGGUGAGGGAUGAAAGCUGGGGGAGCAAACCGGAUUAGAUACCCGGGUAGUCCCAGCUGUAAACGAU